UUCCCUUUGUUAUCCUAUGCCUUGAUUAUGUGCCGAGGCAUGGAGCACAAGAGGAAAC
This 58-nucleotide microRNA precursor is filed under the name Eptatretus burgeri (inshore hagfish). RNAcentral describes it as "Ebu-Mir-204_pre stem-loop". Lineage: Eukaryota; Metazoa; Chordata; Myxini; Myxiniformes; Myxinidae. The record is from RNAcentral.